UCCCUGGUGGCUCAGAUGGUAAACAACCUGCUUGCAAUGCAGGAGACCCAGGUUCGAUCCCUGGAUCGGGAA
Molecule: transfer RNA, 72 nt
Filed under: Bos taurus (domestic cattle)
Lineage: Eukaryota; Metazoa; Chordata; Mammalia; Artiodactyla; Bovidae
Also listed under: 3 other names
Rfam family: tRNA
About the family: Transfer RNA (tRNA) molecules are approximately 80 nucleotides in length.
Source: Rfam by way of RNAcentral